This 465-nucleotide ribosomal RNA is filed under the name uncultured Veillonella sp. RNAcentral describes it as "bacterial SSU rRNA". It matches the Rfam family "Bacterial small subunit ribosomal RNA", at positions 338 to 795 of the family's 1533-position model. Lineage: Bacteria; Bacillati; Bacillota; Negativicutes; Veillonellales; Veillonellaceae. The record is from RNAcentral.
CCUACGGGGGGCAGCAGUGGGGAAUCUUCCGCAAUGGACGAAAGUCUGACGGAGCAACGCCGCGUGAGUGAUGACGGCCUUCGGGUUGUAAAGCUCUGUUAAUCGGGACGAAUGGUUCUUGUGCGAAUAGUGCGAGGAUUUGACGGUACCGGAAUAGAAAGCCACGGCUAACUACGUGCCAGCAGCCGCGGUAAUACGUAGGUGGCAAGCGUUGUCCGGAAUUAUUGGGCGUAAAGCGCGCGCAGGCGGAUUGGUCAGUCUGUCUUAAAAGUUCGGGGCUUAACCCCGUGAUGGGAUGGAAACUGCCAAUCUAGAGUAUCGGAGAGGAAAGUGGAAUUCCUAGUGUAGCGGUGAAAUGCGUAGAUAUUAGGAAGAACACCAGUGGCGAAGGCGACUUUCUGGACGAAAACUGACGCUGAGGCGCGAAAGCCAGGGGAGCGAACGGGAUUAGAUACCCGAGUAGUC